CCUUAGUUACCAGCACGGUUAUGGUGGGCACUCUAAGGAGACUGCCGGUGGACAAACCGGAGGAAGUGGGGAUGACGUCAAGUCAUCAUGGCCCUUACGGCCUGGGCUACACACGUGCUACAAUGGUCGGUACAAAGGGUUGCCAAGCCGCGAGGUGGAGCUAAUCCCAUAAAACCGAUCGUAGUCCGGAUCGCAGUCUGCAACUCGACUGCGUGAAGUCGGAAUCGCUAGUAAUCGUGAAUCAGAAUGUCACGGUGAAUACGUUCCCGGGCCUU
RNAcentral lists this ribosomal RNA (275 nucleotides) under uncultured Pseudomonas sp. Its description in RNAcentral is "partial 16S ribosomal RNA". It matches the Rfam family "Bacterial small subunit ribosomal RNA", at positions 1109 to 1382 of the family's 1533-position model. The record is from RNAcentral. Lineage: Bacteria; Pseudomonadati; Pseudomonadota; Gammaproteobacteria; Pseudomonadales; Pseudomonadaceae.